ACAGAACACAGAGUUGUUGUUGGCAGUUGGUGGAUUCUGGAGGAGUGAGAGCCUGCUUUUCCUCUAGCUGGCAGGAUAAACCAGGAAGGUAGCUGUCUGGUUUUCUGGGGUGGACCAAGAUAGCCAUUGGUUCCCUCUUUCUUUGGCUGUCCUAAUCUGCCUGUUUCUACUGUUGCUGUUACAGAGAAGUAGAUUUCUGCUGUUGCUGGUAACAUCUUACUGAGAUUUCUAUUUGGAUCAAAGAAAGGACUCCCAGGGGGAAGCUGGCACUCUGCUAAGAAACAACACCAGGAGGUGGAGAAUGGCUAUUGGUCUCUCACAAGUCUGCAAGAUUUCAAUGACAGCCUGAACCUGAUCUGCUGGCCCCAUACCUGCUUCAUGCCUGCCUAGCAAUGUCCAACUUAAAAAAAUAACAUCUUGGUCAAACUAUUUAUUUUGAAAUAGUCAAGGAAAGGAAAGCCUGGUGAUCGAUCAGCCAAGGAGAUACUAUGUUUUCUCAGGGAGCAAAAACAAACAAACAACUGCCAAAUUUCAGCCAACAGAGGAAGCUGCCUGGCUGAUGAGUGAAAAAGAUAGAGGAGUGUACUUGGCUGAUGCUGAUAUUGACAUACCCCUUUGUCGCCUGGAUCAUUUUGGACACAACAUCGGGGCAUGUGGGAAAUUUCACCAAACCCUGCAGUCAGUGAACAGGUUAACCUGUGGCACCUCUUCAGGAGUAAAUGACAGGAGGAUGAAUGACAGAAUCACCUAUCAGUAAUGGAAACACCAUAAUGGAGCUCUUCUAUUCUGCAAUGAAAACAUCAUAAAUGGACAAAUUGCAAAAGAAAUCCAACAUCCAAAGCACGACAAUGGACAUCCGGUUGGAUGCUACAGCUGUUGCUCAAAACUGAUCAAUGUUUAAUUUAAUGGAUGGUCAAGUGGCUAAUUUAAUGAGGUUGUAAAAAAAAGAUAGCCUCCGGGAAAAAAAAAGAAAGGAGAGGAGGAAAAAAGGAAGGAGAGAAUUAGGAAG
This 1009-nucleotide long non-coding RNA is filed under the name Monodelphis domestica (gray short-tailed opossum). Its description in RNAcentral is "lncRNA (ENSMODG00000040289.1)". Lineage: Eukaryota; Metazoa; Chordata; Mammalia; Didelphimorphia; Didelphidae. The record is from RNAcentral.